AGAGUUUGAUCCUGGCUCAGGAUGAACGCUGGCGGUGUGCCUAAUACAUGCAAGUCGAUCGGGCGUAGCAAUACGUCAGAGGCGUACGGGUGAGUAACACGUAGGUAACCUACCUUUAAGACUGGGAUACCCAGACGAAAGUUUGGCUAAUACCGGAUAACAAUGAUUGAGACAUCUCUUUUAUUUGAAAGGCGCCUUCAAGCGCCACUUUUAGAUGGACCUGCGUCGCAUUAGCUAGUUGGCGGGAUAAAAGCCCACCAAGGCUGGGAUGCGUAACCGAUCUGAGAGGAUGACCGGCCACAAUGGGACUGAGACACGGCCCAUACUCCUACGGGAGGCAGCAGUGGGGGAUAUUGCACAAUGGAGGAAACUCUGAUGCAGCAACGCCGCGUGAGGGAAGACGGUCUUCGGAUUGUAAACCUAAGUUAUCAGGGACGAAUACAAUGACGGUACCUGAAGAGAAAGCUCCGGCUAACUACGUGCCAGCAGCCGCGGUAAGACCUACGUU
This 508-nucleotide ribosomal RNA is filed under the name uncultured bacterium. RNAcentral describes it as "bacterial SSU rRNA". It matches the Rfam family "Bacterial small subunit ribosomal RNA", at positions 8 to 533 of the family's 1533-position model. The record is from RNAcentral.